UGCAUUGCUGUGUCCAUAUCCUGUUUGUA
RNAcentral lists this non-coding RNA (29 nucleotides) under Mus musculus (house mouse). The record is from RNAcentral. Lineage: Eukaryota; Metazoa; Chordata; Mammalia; Rodentia; Muridae.